GUGAAUCAUCAAAUUUUUGAACGCAUAUUGCACUCUCUGGGAUUCCGGUGAGUAUGCCUGUUUGCGGGUAAUUAAAAAGAAUCUUUAACCAAUUUUUUUGGUCAAAGGAAAGGAGUUCUCCGCGUUUAUAGCGUUAGCUUGAAAUAAAUGGUAGUCCCAUGCUAGUCGAGACGUGUAAUAAUAUUAUUUCGCGAAAUCUUCAU
This 203-nucleotide unclassified non-coding RNA is filed under the name Ambisporaceae sp. RNAcentral describes it as "partial contains 5.8S ribosomal RNA and internal transcribed spacer 2". The stretch from base 1 to 71 matches the Rfam family "5.8S ribosomal RNA", at positions 84 to 154 of the family's 154-position model. The record is from RNAcentral. Lineage: Eukaryota; Fungi; Glomeromycota; Glomeromycetes; Archaeosporales; Ambisporaceae.